This 1025-nucleotide long non-coding RNA is filed under the name Fukomys damarensis (Damara mole-rat). Its description in RNAcentral is "lncRNA (ENSFDAG00000025457.1)". The record is from RNAcentral. Lineage: Eukaryota; Metazoa; Chordata; Mammalia; Rodentia; Bathyergidae.
AUGUGCCUCCCCUCCGCCCCCACCAGGCACCUUAUUUUAAAAAACAAAAACAAAAACACCUUUUAUUUUUUUAAAAAAUCUAACCUUGGAAGUUUGCUCGAGGUAGGACCUGCUUCUCCAUGUUGGUGUGGAGCUUGGCGGACGCUGUUGAGAGGCCACAUAGAGCUCCUCCUCUGUUCCCUGAGAGCUCCCAUGGGACCAGCUCACACAUCUGGGGUGAGCCCAGGAUUGCUGCAGUGCCACUUAAAGAAAGUUUGUGGGCCCUACAGGAACUCAGGCCAGGCAGGGCUGCCAUUCUCUGGCCCUCCAGGUCCGGACUGUUGAUGUAGGACGGCUGAGCCCAAUCCCUGCCACCCAAGGACAGACCCCUCUUGUCUCCUCUGUCAGGGACAGGAGAAGAAGAGGAAUAAAGUGCCUGGAUAUGUGCAUUCAUCAAGUGUCCUGCAGAUGCAGCCUCCGACCAGAAGAGCUGAAGAGACAAAAUUUUUCACUAAGUGAUAUUUUUGAUGCAGUCUAAGGGUUAGUAAACAACCUGACUUGUUGCCUGUUUUUAUAAAUAAAGUUUUAUUGGUACACAGACAUGCCCAUUUGUUAGUGUAUUUUCUCUUACUUCUUGGGAAUUGCAGUGUCAAGUGGUUGUGGCAGGGACCAUGUAGUCUACAAAGCUAAGAAUAUUCACUGUCUGGCCUUUUGCAGACGAAGUUCAGACUCCAAUGGCCUUCAUCCAGUUCCCUACAUAUCUACUCAGUACCUACUCUGGGCUGAGAAAUGGUCAGAGUGUUGUUUGUUUGUUUUGGGUGCUGGUAUCGGAACCCAGGGCCUUGCACAUGCUAAGCACAAGGUUGGAGGAGCCACUGGGCUCCAGCCUCAGGCACCUGGAUGAACUUUAUAGUGAUACUAAUUUGAAAACAUGCUCAGGGUCUGAUUCAGUUAGUGUUAAGGGGAGGUGUGUGGAAGGCAGGAAGACAGAGAAUUUGGGGCCAGAUACCACCGGGUGUGGGCGGGUUGUGCUGUGAUUAUCCCAG